This 335-nucleotide ribosomal RNA is filed under the name uncultured bacterium. Its description in RNAcentral is "bacterial SSU rRNA". It matches the Rfam family "Bacterial small subunit ribosomal RNA", at positions 32 to 359 of the family's 1533-position model. The record is from RNAcentral.
AAUCAACGCUGGCGGCGUGCCUCAGACAUGCAAGUCGAACGAUUAAGACUCUCUUCGGAGAGUGCAUAAAGUGGCGCACGGGUGAGUAACACGUAAGUAAUCUACCCUCGAGUGGGGAAUAACGUCCGGAAACGGACGCUAAUACCGCAUAAUGCAGCGGCACCGCAAGGUGACAGUUGUUAAAGAUUUAUCGCUUGAGGAGGAGCUUGCGGCAGAUUAGCUAGUUGGUAAGGUAAUGGCUUACCAAGGCUACGAUCUGUAACCGGUCUAAGAGGACGGUCGGUCACACUGACACUGAAUAACGGGUCAGACUCCUACGGGAGGCAGCAGUCGGG